RNAcentral lists this ribosomal RNA (532 nucleotides) under Penicillium sp. MWZ 14-4. Its description in RNAcentral is "eukaryotic LSU rRNA". The stretch from base 211 to 364 matches the Rfam family "5.8S ribosomal RNA". The record is from RNAcentral. Lineage: Eukaryota; Fungi; Ascomycota; Eurotiomycetes; Eurotiales; Aspergillaceae.
UUUCCGUAGGUGAACCUGCGGAAGGAUCAUUACCGAGUGCGGGCCCUCGUGGCCCAACCUCCCACCCUUGUCUCUAUACACCUGUUGCUUUGGCGGGCCCACCGGGGCCACCUGGUCGCCGGGGGACAUCUGUCCCCGGGCCCGCGCCCGCCGAAGCGCUCUGUGAACCCUGAUGAAGAUGGGCUGUCUGAGUACUAUGAAAAUUGUCAAAACUUUCAACAAUGGAUCUCUUGGUUCCGGCAUCGAUGAAGAACGCAGCGAAAUGCGAUAAGUAAUGUGAAUUGCAGAAUUCCGUGAAUCAUCGAAUCUUUGAACGCACAUUGCGCCCCCUGGCAUUCCGGGGGGCAUGCCUGUCCGAGCGUCAUUUCUGCCCUCAAGCACGGCUUGUGUGUUGGGUGCGGUCCCCCCGGGGACCUGCCCGAAAGGCAGCGGCGACGUCCGUCUGGUCCUCGAGCGUAUGGGGCUUUGUCACUCGCUCGGGAAGGACUGGCGGGGGUUGGUCACCACCAAAAUUUUACCACGGUUGACCUCG